Molecule: ribosomal RNA, 497 nt
Filed under: uncultured bacterium
Lineage: Bacteria
Description: partial 16S ribosomal RNA
Rfam family: Bacterial small subunit ribosomal RNA
Source: RNAcentral
GAUGAACGCUGGCGGCGUGCCUAAUACAUGCAAGUCGAGCGAACGGACGAGAAGCUUGCUUUUCUGAUGUUAGCGGCGGACGGGUGAGUAACACGUGGAUAACCUACCUAUAAGACUGGGAUAACUUCGGGAAACCGGAGCUAAUACCGGAUAAUAUUUUGAACCGCAUGGUUCAAAAGUGAAAGACGGUCUUGCUGUCACUUAUAGAUGGAUCCGCGCUGCAUUAGCUAGUUGGUAAGGUAACGGCUUACCAAGGCAACGAUGCAUAGCCGACCUGAGAGGGUGAUCGGCCACACUGGAACUGAGACACGGUCCAGACUCCUACGGGAGGCAGCAGUAGGGAAUCUUCCGCAAUGGGCGAAAGCCUGACGGAGCAACGCCGCGUGAGUGAUGAAGGUCUUCGGAUCGUAAAACUCUGUUAUUAGGGAAGAACAUAUGUGUAAGUAACUGUGCACAUCUUGACGGUACCUAAUCAGAAAGCCACGGCUUACUACGUG